CUGUGAGCUCGAUGAGUAGGGCGGGACACGUGGUAUCCUGUCUGAAUAUGGGGGGACCAUCCUCCAAGGCUAAAUACUCCUGACUGACCGAUAGUGAACCAGUACCGUGAGGGAAAGGCGAAAAGAACCCCGGCGAGGGGAGUGAAAAAGAACCUGAAACCGUGUACGUACAAGCAGUGGGAGCACGCUUCGGCGUGUGACUGCGUACCUUUUGUAUAAUGGGUCAGCGACUUAUAUUCUGUAGCAAGGUUAACCGAAUAGGGGAGCCGAAGGGAAACCGAGUCUUAACUGGGCGUUAAGUUGCAGGGUAUAGACCCGAAACCCGGUGAUCUAGCCAUGGGCAGGUUGAAGGUUGGGUAACACUAACUGGAGGACCGAACCGACUAAUGUUGAAAAAUUAGCGGAUGACUUGUGGCUGGGGGUGAAAGGCCAAUCAAACCGGGAGAUAGCUGGUUCUCCCCGAAAGCUAUUUAGGUAGCGCCUCGUGAAUUCAUCUCCGGGGGUAGAGCACUGUUUCGGCAAGGGGGUCAUCCCGACUUACCAACCCGAUGCAAACUGCGAAUACCGGAGAAUGUUAUCACGGGAGACACACGGCGGGUGCUAACGUCCGUCGUGAAGAGGGAAACAACCCAGACCGCCAGCUAAGGUCCCAAAGUCAUGGUUAAGUGGGAAACGAUGUGGGAAGGCCCAGACAGCCAGGAUGUUGGCUUAGAAGCAGCCAUCAUUUAAAGAAAGCGUAAUAGCUCACUGGUCGAGUCGGCCUGCGCGGAAGAUGUAACGGGGCUAAACCAUGCACCGAAGCUGCGGCAGCGACACUAUGUGUUGUUGGGUAGGGGAGCGUUCUGUAAGCCUGUGAAGGUGU
Molecule: ribosomal RNA, 862 nt
Filed under: Escherichia coli
Lineage: Bacteria; Pseudomonadati; Pseudomonadota; Gammaproteobacteria; Enterobacterales; Enterobacteriaceae
Description: partial 23S ribosomal RNA
Rfam family: Bacterial large subunit ribosomal RNA
Source: RNAcentral